ACAACUGGAUCACCUCCUUUCUAAGGAUGAUCAUGAAUGGGAUCGGUCCCUUUGUGAUCUGAUUAAACAUAAAGGUUGAACAGUUAUGAGUAUUCACAUUCAUUUUGUUUAACCGGCUUCUUUAAGUCUAAAGAAGUAUAGCAGGCAUGCCGCCUUCGUUUCUCUUUCUUCAAAUGAUGAUCCCAAGCCUUCUGGCAAUCUGCUCCUCAUAAAUAUUUGAAUAAAUAUUUUAAGAGAGGAACUCAUAAAUUUUGAGAUAGUUGAGAAGACCUUUUGUUUUUUGUGUCUGUUUUAUUGUGAUGUCAGAUUGUCCCGGAGAAGGUUUUUCCGGUUUAUCCCGGGAGGGCUUGUAGCUCAGUUGGUUAGAGCGCGCGCUUGAUAAGCGUGAGGUCGGAGGUUCAAGUCCUCCCAGGCCCACCAUUUAUUCCAGGCCUAUGAUUGAUUUCUAGGCAGACAUUAAUUUGAGGCUUAUCUUAUAGUUUUAGGCUUACUAUGUGUGGUGCGUUUUUAUCUUUUAACUGCCACUGUUGUUUGGUUGAAGAGGGGCCGUAGCUCAGCUGGGAGAGCACCUGCUUUGCAAGCAGGGGGUCGUCGGUUCGAUCCCGUCCGGCUCCACCAUCAUAGGCUAUUUAUGCGUUAUGGAUCAUCAUGUUAGAGAACAAGUUUGCAAAUAGAUUUUGAUUUAUUUGCUGGUUCUAUUGAAAUUGUGAAGAGAAGAUAUAUUCAGACAUUGCUGUUUGAAGGCUCCUUUUAGGGGUUUUUUAGAGAGUUCUUUUAGGAGUUCUUUCAGAGAGUUAAUGUGUCGCAAGGGAAUGCUCAAAACCCUUGCCUUAUGAUUGGCGUUUUAACCGACGUCAUUGAAUAUAUCAUCAGAGAAACUGGUCUUUCUGCUGAUAUUUUGAGUUGAGUGUGCACGCAUUCAACAGUGAAUGAAUAUUGGCAAUGAGAACUAUCAAUUGUCUUAAGGGCAU
RNAcentral lists this transfer RNA (971 nucleotides) under Bartonella bacilliformis. Its description in RNAcentral is "partial contains 16S ribosomal RNA, 16S-23S intergenic spacer, and 23S ribosomal RNA". The stretch from base 344 to 417 matches the Rfam family "tRNA". Lineage: Bacteria; Pseudomonadati; Pseudomonadota; Alphaproteobacteria; Hyphomicrobiales; Bartonellaceae. The record is from RNAcentral.